Molecule: ribosomal RNA, 435 nt
Filed under: uncultured bacterium
Lineage: Bacteria
Description: partial 16S ribosomal RNA
Rfam family: Bacterial small subunit ribosomal RNA
Source: RNAcentral
AACGAACGCUGGCGGCAGGCCUAACACAUGCAAGUCGAGCGGACAUCUUCGGAUGUUAGCGGCGGACGGGUGAGUAACGCGUGGGAACGUGCUCUUUGCUUCGGAAUAGCCUCGGGAAACUGGGAGUAAUACCGGAUGUACCCUUUGGGGGAAAGAUUUAUCGGCAAAGGAUCGGCCCGCGUUGGAUUAGGUAGUUGGUGGGGUAAUGGCCUACCAAGCCGACGAUCCAUAGCUGGUUUGAGAGGAUGAUCAGCCACACUGGGACUGAGACACGGCCCAGACUCCUACGGGAGGCAGCAGUGGGGAAUCUUAGACAAUGGGGGAAACCCUGAUCUAGCCAUGCCGCGUGAGCGAUGAAGGCCUUAGGGUUGUAAAGCUCUUUCACCGGGGAAGAUAAUGACGGUACCCGGAGAAGAAGCCCCGGCUAACUCCGUG